RNAcentral lists this ribosomal RNA (324 nucleotides) under Triticum aestivum (bread wheat). Its description in RNAcentral is "partial small subunit ribosomal RNA". The record is from RNAcentral. Lineage: Eukaryota; Viridiplantae; Streptophyta; Magnoliopsida; Poales; Poaceae.
GCGGUUGCCACGGCGGCUGGCGGCAAGGGGACGGUAAGGCCACCGACGGCGUCGACGCUGCUCGUGGCGUGUCUGCACGGCCGGCAGCCGCUCUUCCGCGGCCGGGCGGCCAACGGGUGCAUGCCACGGGUGUUCCGCGUGCCGCCGUAGGCGCCCAGCCGGUACGCCAACUACCACACCCUCGACGCCGGCGCGUGCGACAACGGCGGUGGCCGGAACCGGAAGCCGCGAGCGGAGCUGAGCAUCGUACCGUGUUCUUUCUUUGGAGAAGAUCCUGGAUUCUUUUUUUACAAACAAUAUAUAUACACAAUGCUGAAAGAUUAA